UUAGUGGCGACGGGUGAGUAACAUAUCGGAACAUGUCCGGAAGUGGGGGAUAACGUAGCGAAAGUUACGCUAAUACCGCAUAUGCCCCCCAAUAUAAUAGUUGGGGAGGGAAAGGGGGGGAUCGCAAGACCUCUCGCUUUCGGAGUGGCCGAUAUCGGAUUAGCUAGAUGGUGAGGUAAAGGCUCACCAUGGCGACGAUCCGUAGCUGGUCUGAGAGGACGACCAGCCACACUGGAACUGAGACACGGUCCAGACUCCUACGGGAGGCAGCAGUGGGGAAUUUUGGACAAUGGGCGCAAGCCUGAUCCAGCCAUACCGCGUGAGUGAAGAAGGCCUUCGGGUUGUAAAGCUCUUUCAGCCGGAAAGAAAUCGCACUGGUUAACACCUUGUGUGGAUGACGGUACCGGAAGAAGAAGCACCGGCUAACUACGUGCCAGCAGCCGCGGUAAUACGUAGGGUGCGAGCGUUAAUCGGAAUUACUGGGCGUAAAGCGUGCGCAGGCGGUUUUGUAAGACAGACGUGAAAUCCCCGGGCUUAACCUGGGAACUGCGUUUGUGACUGCAAGGCUAGAGUGCGGCAGAGGGUGGUAGAAUUCCACGUGUAGCAGUGAAAUGCGUAGAUAUGUGGAGGAAUACCGAUGGCGAAGGCAGCCCCCUGGGUCGACACUGACGCUCAUGCACGAAAGCGUGGGGAGCAAACAGGAUUAGAUACCCUGGUAGUCCACGCCCUAAACGAUGUCAACCAGGUGUUGGGGAAGGAGACUUCUUUAGUACCGCAGCUAACGCGAUAAGUUGACCGCCUGGGGAGUACGGUCGCAAGAUUAAAACUCAAAGGAAUUGACGGGGACCCGCACAAGCGGUGGAUUAUAUGGGUUAAUUCGAUGCAACGCGAAAAACCUUACCUACCCUUGACAUGCCAGGAAGAUCCCAGAGAUGGGAUGGUGCCCGAAAGGGAACCUGGACACAGGUGCUGCAUGGCUGUCGUCAGCUCGUGUCGUGAGAUGUUGGGUUAAGUCCCGCAACGAGCGCAACCCUUGUCAUUAAUUGCCAUCAUUCAGUUGGGCACUUUAAUGAGACUGCCGGUGAUAAACCGGAGGAAGGUGGGGAUGACGUCAAGUCCUCAUGGCCCUUAUGGGUAGGGCUUCACACGUAAUACAAUGGUCGGUACAGAGGGUUGCCAAGCAGCGAUGCGGAGCCAAUCUCAGAAAGCCGAUCGUAGUCCGGAUCGGAGUCUGCAACUCGACUCCGUGAAGUCGGAAUCGCUAGUAAUCGCGAUCAGCAG
Molecule: ribosomal RNA, 1281 nt
Filed under: uncultured bacterium
Lineage: Bacteria
Description: bacterial SSU rRNA
Rfam family: Bacterial small subunit ribosomal RNA
Source: RNAcentral